GGUCUCAUCGUCUAACGGCUAGGACACAAGAUUUUCAUUCUUGCAAUUGGAGUUCGAUUCUCCAUGAGACUAC
RNAcentral lists this transfer RNA (73 nucleotides) under uncultured phage cr61_1. RNAcentral's name for it is "tRNA-Glu". It matches the Rfam family "tRNA". From Rfam's summary of the family: Transfer RNA (tRNA) molecules are approximately 80 nucleotides in length. Lineage: Duplodnaviria; Heunggongvirae; Uroviricota; Caudoviricetes; Crassvirales; Darmviridae. The record is from RNAcentral.